UCGCACCUACCGAUUGAAUGGUCCGGUGAAAUCUUGGGAUUCUGUUUGAUUUCAUUUAUUUGUUUUCGUACGGGAGAACUUGAGUAAACCUUACCAUUUAGAGGAAGGUG
This 110-nucleotide ribosomal RNA is filed under the name uncultured eukaryote. RNAcentral's name for it is "partial small subunit ribosomal RNA". It matches the Rfam family "Eukaryotic small subunit ribosomal RNA", at positions 1676 to 1785 of the family's 1831-position model. The record is from RNAcentral.